AGAACUAGGGCGAGGCCGGUGUGUUGUAGUGUUAGAACUAGGGCGAGGUCUGUGUGUUGUCGUGUUAGAACUAGGGCGAGGUCUGUGUGUUGUAGUGUUAGAACUAGGGCGAGGUCUGUGUGUUGUCGUGUUAGAACUAGGGCUAGGUCUGUGUGUUGUAGUGUUAGAACUAGGGCGAGGUCUGUGUGUUGUAGUGUUAGAACUAGGGCGAGGUCUGUGUGUUGUAGUGUUAGAACUAGGGCUAGGUCUGUGUGUUGUAGUGUUAGAACUAGGGCUAGGUCUGUGUGUUGUAGUGUUAGAACUAGGGCUAGGUCUGUGUGUUGUUGUGUUAGAACUAGGGCUAGGUCUGUGUGUUGUCGUGUUAGAACUAGGGCGAGGUCUGUGUGUUGUAGUGUUAGAACUAGGGCGAGGUCUGUGUGUUGUAGUGUUAGAACUAGGGCGAGACCGGUGUGUUGUAGUGUUAGAACUAGGGCGAGGCCGGUGUGUUGUAGUGUUAGAACUAGGGCGAGGCCGGUGUGUUGUAGUGUUAGAACUAGGGCGAGGCCGGUGUGUUGUAGUGUAGUAUUAGAACUAGGGCGAGGCAGGUGUGUUGUAGUGUUAGAACUAGGGCGAGGCCAGUGUGUUAGAACUAGGGCGAGGCCGGUGUGUUGUAGUGUUUGAACUCGGCCGAGGCCGUUGUAGUGUAGUAUUAGAACUAGGGCGAGGCCGGUGUAGUGUUAGAACUAGGGCGAGGCCGGUGUAGUGUAGUGUUAGAACUAGGGCGAGGCCGGUGUGUUGUAGUGUUAGAACUAGGGCGAGGCCGGUGUGUUGUAGUGUUAGAACUAGGGCGAGGCCGGUGUGUUGUAGUGUUAGAACUAGGGCGAGGCCAGUGUGUUGUAGUGUUAGAACUAGGGCGAGGCAGGUGUGUUGUAGUGUAGUAUUAGAACUAGGGCGAGGCAGGUGUGUUGUAGUGUUAGAACUAGGGCGAGGCCGGUGUGUUGUAGUGUUUGAACUCGGCCGAGGCCGUUGUAGUGUAGUAUUAGAACUAGGGCGAGGCCGGUGUAGUGUUAGAACUAGGGCGAGGCCGGUGUAGUGUAGUGUUAGAACUAGGGCGAGGCCAGUGUGUUGUAGUGUUAGAACUAGGGCGAGGCCGGUGUGUUGUAGUGUUAGAACUAGGGCGAGGCCGGUGUGUUGUAGUGUAGUAUUAGAACUAGGGCGAGGCAGGUGUGUUGUAGUGUUAGAACUAGGGCGAGGCCAGUGUGUUGUAGUGUAGGGCAAGGCCAGUGUAGUGUUAGAACUAGGGCGAGGCCGGUGUGUUGUAGUGUUAGAACUAGGGCUAGGCCGGUGUGUUGUAGUGUUAGAACUGGGGCUAGGCCGGUGUGUUGUAGUGUUAGAACUAGGGCUAGGCCGGUGUGUUGUAGUGUUAGAACUAGGGCUAGGCCGGUGUGUUGUAGUGUUAGAACUAGGGCUAGGCCGGUGUGUUGUAGUAUUAGAACUAGGGCGAGGCCGGUGUGUUGUAGUGUUGGAACUAGGGCGAGGCCGGUGUGUUGGAACUAGGGCGAGGCCGGUGUGUUGGAACUAGGGCGAGGCCGGUGUGUUGGAACUAGGGCGAGGCCGGUGUGUUGGAACUAGGGCGAGGCCGGUGUGUUGGAACUAGGGCGAGGCCGGUGUGUUGGAACUAGGGCGAGGCCAGUGUGUUUGUAGUG
Molecule: long non-coding RNA, 1685 nt
Organism: Oncorhynchus keta (chum salmon)
Lineage: Eukaryota; Metazoa; Chordata; Actinopteri; Salmoniformes; Salmonidae
Exons: 4
Source: RefSeq, a predicted model, not a curated record